Molecule: transfer RNA, 72 nt
Filed under: Phalacrocorax auritus (double-crested cormorant)
Lineage: Eukaryota; Metazoa; Chordata; Aves; Suliformes; Phalacrocoracidae
Description: tRNA-Lys
Source: RNAcentral
CAUUAAGAAGCUAUGCAACAGCACUAGCCUUUUAAGCUAGAAAUAGAGGAAACAUCACACCCUCCUUAAUGA